Molecule: ribosomal RNA, 342 nt
Filed under: uncultured bacterium
Lineage: Bacteria
Description: bacterial SSU rRNA
Rfam family: Bacterial small subunit ribosomal RNA
Source: RNAcentral
UGGCUCAGAACGAACGCUGGCGGCAUGCCUAACACAUGCAAGUCGAACGGCAGCAUGAUCUAGCUUGCUAGAUUGAUGGCGAGUGGCGGACGGGUGAGUAACACGUAGGAAUAUACCCUAAAGAGGGGGAUAACUUGGGGAAACUCAAGCUAAUACCGCGUAAUCUCUGAGGAGAGAAGCUGGGGACCAUUAGGCCUGGCGCUUUAGGAAUAGCCUGCGUCCGAUUAGCUAGUUGGUGGGGUAAGGGCCCACCAAGGCGAUGAUCGGUAGCUGGUCUGAGAGGAUGAUCAGCCACACUGGAACUGAGACACGGUCCAGAGUCCUACGGGAGGCAGCAGUGGG